Molecule: ribosomal RNA, 443 nt
Filed under: uncultured bacterium
Lineage: Bacteria
Description: bacterial SSU rRNA
Rfam family: Bacterial small subunit ribosomal RNA
Source: RNAcentral
CCUACGGGAGGCUGCAGUGAGGAAUUUUGCGCAAUGGACGAAAGUCUGACGCAGCAACGCCGCGUGAGGGAUGAAGGCCUUAGGGUUGUAAACCUCUUUUAGUCGGAACGAAAUAAAUGACGGUACCGACAGAAAAAGCACCGGCUAACUCUGUGCCAGCAGCCGCGGUGAUACAGAGGGUGCAAGCGUUAUUCGGAAUUAUUGGGCGUAAAGAGCGUGUAGGUGGUUGAGUAAGUUUGAUGUGAAAGCCCUAGUCUCAAGCUAGGAAGUGCAUUGAAUACUACUCGGCUAGAGUACAGGAGAGGUUAGUGGAAUUCCAGGUGUAGAGGUGAAAUUCGUAGAUAUCUGGAGGAACAACAGUGGCGAAGGCGACUAACUGGACUGUAACUGACACUAAGGCGCGAAAGCGUGGGGAGCAAACAGGCUUAGAUACCCUGGUAGUC